Long non-coding RNA from Rhipicephalus microplus (southern cattle tick), 769 nucleotides. The record is from RefSeq and is a predicted model, not a curated record. Lineage: Eukaryota; Metazoa; Arthropoda; Arachnida; Ixodida; Ixodidae.
ACAUGCGCAGUACGGAUUGAGUGAUAGUGGAGAUAGUGCUGCUGUAACUCCAGAAGUGAAGAGGGCAGUGCGCUGGUGAAUCGAUUGCUGCUGCCUCGGCUCGCCAGCACCAACGACUGUUGGACGACUCUUCAUUACUACUACGCGCGUGUGCCGUCAGCGCUGGGAUAUGAUGCGAUGAAGAAAGGCUAGUUUCUGUUGUUGACAUUUUCCUUUAAGUGUGGCGUGUGAGCGUGGCGAAGUUGGUACUGCUUGGACCACAGCGUGCAAAAAGCACCGUCUAUUUGCGCGCUAAAAACGCUCGGACUACCAGCUUUAAUGCAUCGGUGCAGGAAAAUGUUGACAGCAAUGACAGCAAUGAAUUUCAAACCGUUUUCCAAAAAGAAGAGCCCCUUGUUAACAGUGUACACUCGGAGUGUGUUGGGCUAGUAAAAGAGCUGCUGAACCACUUUAUGAAGCAUGAGGCCUACUGCAACUUGCCUGGCAGUGAAAACAACUUGAUGUCGGGUCACCAGAAGGGCUGAAGCAAGUUUUGGAAAUCGGAUCCGACACUGAAAAAGAAAUUCGUAACUGGGAUCCCCAAGAAAAGAAGAGCUUCAGGACAAGUGCACAGGCAUUUUACAUUUCUACUGCGAAACAUCUAAUCAAGCGGCUUCCUCUGGAUAACAAACUGCAAAAAUGAUAACAAAACAUAACAUAAAAUGACAACAAAAUGAUAACAAAAAUUCCAAAAUGAAUUCCAAACAAGGUUUCUCAGAAUAUUGUGAAA